GCCGGAGUGGCGGAAUUGGCAGACGCGCUGGAUUCAAAAUCCAGUGGGCUUCGCGGCCCGUGUGGGUUCGAGUCCCACCUCCGGCA
RNAcentral lists this transfer RNA (86 nucleotides) under Planctomycetota bacterium. RNAcentral's name for it is "Planctomycetes bacterium (hydrothermal vent metagenome) tRNA-Leu". It matches the Rfam family "tRNA". Rfam says of the family: Transfer RNA (tRNA) molecules are approximately 80 nucleotides in length. Their secondary structure includes four short double-helical elements and three loops (D, anti-codon, and T loops). The record is from RNAcentral. Lineage: Bacteria; Pseudomonadati; Planctomycetota.